GUUGCACCAUUUUAUAUUUUCUUUUGGGCUUUUGGUUAGAUUGGUUCUUCAUCAACUAGAAGUAAAUGAGGAAUCCAUCAUUAUUGUGAUGGUUUCGAGUGUAGACUUUAGCAUGAGAAGUAGUUGCAAUGUCACCAUCAUUUAUUGCCAAACAAGAAAGAGCAUUACAUGAAUGUCCUUUUCGACUCACUUCACUUUUUCUAAUAUUUUUGUAAUAUGGACAACCUUGUAAUUGCAUGCAUUCAUGAACACAUGAUGUACUUGCUUCUGCUUGCUAUCCUUGUAUUGGAAAUGCAGCUUCCUACCCAAUUUGAGUAUUAGACUUGUAUCCCACCUUUACCUCAUCUCACACUUAAAUCUUUGGCAGGUUUGGCUUU
RNAcentral lists this unclassified non-coding RNA (377 nucleotides) under Hevea brasiliensis (rubber tree). The record is from RNAcentral. Lineage: Eukaryota; Viridiplantae; Streptophyta; Magnoliopsida; Malpighiales; Euphorbiaceae.